GACGAACGCUGGCGGCGUGCUUAACACAUGCAAGUCGAACGGAAAGGCCCUGCUUUUGUGGGGUGCUCGAGUGGCGAACGGGUGAGUAACACGUGAGUAACCUGCCCUUGACUUUGGGAUAACUUCAGGAAACUGGGGCUAAUACCGGAUAGGAGCUCCUGCUGCAUGGUGGGGGUUGGAAAGUUUCGGCGGUUGGGGAUGGACUCGCGGCUUAUCAGCUUGUUGGUGGGGUAGUGGCUUACCAAGGCUUGGACGGGUAGCCGGCCUGAGAGGGAGACCGGCUACAGAGGGCUGCAGAAGGCAGCGGGACGGAAUCGGGGGCAAGGGGGGGAAAAGUUACACAACGGGGCGGCGGCAGGGAGGAGAACCCCCGGGGGGGGAAGCGCGGCUUUGGGGUGAGAACCAAUUUGCACGUGACGAGGCGCGUCGUGACGGUAAAUGGUAAAAAAGCCACGGCUAACUACGGG
RNAcentral lists this ribosomal RNA (467 nucleotides) under uncultured bacterium. RNAcentral describes it as "partial 16S ribosomal RNA". It matches the Rfam family "Bacterial small subunit ribosomal RNA", at positions 28 to 507 of the family's 1533-position model. The record is from RNAcentral.